UGAAAGACUGGAUGAACCAAAGUCAUC
RNAcentral lists this non-coding RNA (27 nucleotides) under Mus musculus (house mouse). Lineage: Eukaryota; Metazoa; Chordata; Mammalia; Rodentia; Muridae. The record is from RNAcentral.